This 375-nucleotide ribosomal RNA is filed under the name uncultured Glomeromycotina. RNAcentral's name for it is "LSU rRNA". The record is from RNAcentral. Lineage: Eukaryota; Fungi; Glomeromycota.
UUGAAAGGGAAACGAUUGAAGUCAGUCGUACCAGCGGGAAAUCAACCUUUCGAGUGGGGGUUUUGGAGUUUUGAAGAGUGUCAAAACCUUUGAGAUUUCAAAAUAUUCGCUCUCUUGGUGUACUUUCUCGUGGGUAGGUUAACAUCGAUUUUGAUCAUCAUAAAAAGAUUGGAGGAAUGUAGCUUCGAUCUUGUAUUGAAGUGUUAUAGCCUUUGGUAAAUGUGAUGAUUAGGAUCGAGGAUUGCAACGAAUACCCUUUUGGGCUAUCCGCCUGAUCUCUGAUACGUGGCCUUGGUAUCGAAAGCGUGCUUAUGGUAUUGAGGUAUUACGGUCAAAAGGUUAGAACGGAUUACAUUCGUUAAGGAUGUUGACGUA